Molecule: ribosomal RNA, 252 nt
Filed under: uncultured bacterium
Lineage: Bacteria
Description: partial 16S ribosomal RNA
Rfam family: Bacterial small subunit ribosomal RNA
Source: RNAcentral
UACGGAGGGUGCAAGCGUUAUCCGGAUUCACUGGGUUUAAAGGGUGCGUAGGUGGGAAUGUAAGUCAGUGGUGAAAUCUCCGUGCUUAACAUGGAACUGCCAUUGAUACUAUGUUUCUUGAAUUUUUCUGGAGGUCAGCGGAAUAUGUCAUGUAGCGGUGAAAUGCUUAGAUAUGACAUAGAACACCAAUUGCGAAGGCAGCUGACUACAGGGAUAUUGACACUGAGGCACGAAAGCGUGGGAUCAAACAGG